AUACUUAAAAUGCCAAGUUCGACGAGAGAACCUUCGGGUCUCUAGUGGCGAACGGGUGAGUAACACGUAGGGAACCUGCCCGCGCACCGGGAAUACGCUCUGGAAACGGAGAACAAAUCCCGAUGUACAGGAAGGAGGCAUCUUCUUUCUGUGAAACAUCCUUUCGGGGAUGGGGCGCGGAUGGACCUGCGGUGCAUUAGUUUGUUGGCGGGGUAAAGGCCCACCAAGACGAUGAUGCAUAGCCGGCCUGAGAGGGCGGACGGCCACAUUGGGACUGAGACACGGCCCAGACUCCUGCGGGAGGCAGCAGUAGGGAAUUUUCGUCAAUGGGCGCAAGCCUGAACGAGCGAUGCCGCGUGAGUGAAGAAGGCCUUCGGGUCGUAAAGCUCUGUUGCGGGGGAAAAAAGGCAGCAUCAGGAAAUGGGUGCUGACUGAUGGUGCCCCGCCAGAAAGUCACGGCUAACUACGUGCCAGCAGCCGCGGUAAUACGUAGGUGGCGAGCGUUAUCCGGAAUGAUUGGGCGUAAAGGGUGCGCAGGCGGUCCUGCAAGUCUGGAGUGAAACGCAUGAGCUCAACUCAUGCAUGGCUUUGGAAACUGGAGGACUGGAGAGCAGGAGAGGGCGGUGGAACUCCAUGUGUAGCGGUAAAAUGCGUAGAUAUAUGGAAGAACACCAGUGGCGAAGGCGGCCGCCUGGCCUGUUGCUGACGCUGAGGCACGAAAGCGUGGGGAGCAAAUAGGAUUAGAUACCC
Molecule: ribosomal RNA, 750 nt
Filed under: uncultured bacterium
Lineage: Bacteria
Description: bacterial SSU rRNA
Rfam family: Bacterial small subunit ribosomal RNA
Source: RNAcentral